GUUUUGUGCAUAUUGAAAUUUCUAGGGCUGCAUUUCUUGAAUGCUUAUAUUCUGUAGAUAGGCAGCCAUGGCUAUCUAUAUGAUAAGUCCACCAAUGAAGUUUUUAAAGUCAUGUGAAUACACAUGACUACAUCACCGUUCUUGAAGACCAGUGUGCUUACUCACCAAAAUCAUCCUGAAUCACUUACUCAUGGUUCAUGGCAUCUCCUUUCUUCUGCUCCGAACUGUUAGGCUAAUCUUGUGGUGGGAAAAAAAAAAGACAGAAAAUACUUCUUGUUUGCCCAAUAUAUAAAUAACCAUAAAAAAUAGAAUGACUACAUGGAAAAAAUGUUUUUCUUAGUUUUGAAAAAAAGUUUUGAUUAAAUAUAUUAAAGCAGAUAAUAACCAAAGCACACUUUGACUAUCAAAAAAAUAAAAAUACAAAUAAGCUUUAUGAACAAAUUAUUAAAUAAUAAUUGUGAAUUUAAAAAUACCACAAUAAUAACUGAAUCAUUAUUAAAUAAUGUAUCAAGAAAAUAUCUAUAUUACAUAAAAUGUGUUAUUCAAAGAAGUUAAAAUUAAAAGUCUAAAACAGAUGUUUAAGAAAUAAAAUAAUGAUAAUCUCAAAUUUGUAAAAUUGUAAUGACUUAUGGCAAUAGUAAUUUUAGUUUUCUAUAAUCCUUAGACAAUUGCAAAGUCUAAAGUUUGGUAUUUUGUGGGUGUCCACCUUUUGUGACUGAUCUAGGAAACAGAGAUGUCAAAUAAACUUGAUUAAUUAUCUGAUUCUUCUUUCUCUGUGAACUGGCCUAUAACUUUCUUCCCUUUAAAUCUGUACUCUCUUGCAUAUGUGGGAAUAUAAAAAUAAAUUUACAUUUAUUCUUAAAUUAUUUCCUUCUAGCAAAAUAAUUCAAACAUUGUCUGUAUUAGCUAAUAAGUGAUUCUUGUCACUUGUCCUCUUCUUCUGCAUCCCUAACUUACAUUCAGAUUAAUUUGUACUGUCCUUUGUGGGAUUAAAACAAAACCAAAACCAAAACCACACACAAACAAACAAACAAAAACCCCAGACAUACCUACUAUUGAAAAAAUUAGAUGAAAUAGUUUUUAUGGAGAAAAGUAAAAAGAAGCCACUGAUAAGCCAGAAGGUUCUUGACUUAUUCACAGUGGACCUCAUGGAACAAGACAUGACUACAUCCUGCUUCACUUGCACUGUUAGCCAUAAAAUUAGCAUUCUCCCUCUCUUUCUUAUACAUCUUCUCUUACAGUCCAGAGACCCCAAAUACAAUGCUCUGUAAUUUAAACAGAAUAGAUUAGUUGGAAGAAAUUGCAAGAUGUCAAAUGCAAAUUGUGUUUUUAAAAACUGUGGUCCAUUGGAAUACACGCGCCACCGCCAUUUACAGAAGCAUUUGUGCACAGGUUUUGAAAACAGCGUUAUCAGAGAAACAGAAGUCAAAUGACUAGCCAUCUCCGCAAACAAAUGGCCUUGAAAGACUCUCCAAACUCCUGCAAUUCAAGAGAACCCAUUUCUGGUUGACAUUUAACCUCAGAGUUUAUGGUAAUUCCAGAUGCUAAUGAUAAAAGUGGCUAUUCGGAAUCUAUCAAAAACCUUAAGAUAUUAAAAUCCCAAAGCAGUAAUCCAGGCUGCCUGGAACCUAAACCAUGUACCAUUCUCUUACAAAAGUGUGAUCAGUAGAAAUUUCUUUUGACUCUUUUACAUUAAAUUUAUUUAUUAUUCACUUUACAACCUAAUAUCGGCUCUUCCUCUCCUCAGAGUACACUCUCAAGCACGCCCUCCCCCAUUCAACCUUCUGGGUGGCGACAGUCUGGGUAUCAACAGCCCCUACACACAAAAGUACUCUACAGCCAGAGAAGUCAAGUCUAAAACUAUGGGUUGAUCAGACAAUUGAGGGAGAAAGCUUUAUGAAAAAUACUAUCUACAUCUGGUGCUGGUACAGCUGUAUUUAUUUGAGCAAACUUAUUUAAGAUUUUUAGUUAUUUAAAAGUUUUCUUCUUACUAUGUUUGUUAUAACAACAACAACAACAAC
RNAcentral lists this long non-coding RNA (2021 nucleotides) under Mus musculus (house mouse). RNAcentral describes it as "long non-coding RNA chr13:117919500-117921521". Lineage: Eukaryota; Metazoa; Chordata; Mammalia; Rodentia; Muridae. The record is from RNAcentral.